This 368-nucleotide long non-coding RNA is filed under the name Parus major (Great Tit). RNAcentral describes it as "lncRNA (ENSPMJG00000000850.1)". The record is from RNAcentral. Lineage: Eukaryota; Metazoa; Chordata; Aves; Passeriformes; Paridae.
GACAUAUGAUGCCAAGCAGAUUGGGUCAAAUCCUGUGGGGCAGCUGAACUGUUCUUAAAUAAUUCUCUCUGGAAACAAACUGUCCCAGCAAAACCAAUUUCAUAUGGCUUCUGUAGUGAAUGAGCUGGAGUGAGUCAGUAAAGAUAGACUGUUUUGAUUACUACAAACUGUAUUGACAUCCUGCAGUGUGGAGAGCUCGGUUAGUUUGGGUUCAAAGACUCCUGGAACUUUUAAAGAUUUGUUUCUGCCUGGAAGAUUUGUCUUAUGGUCUGGAUGCCAAUAAUUUAAGAGAGUCAAUCAUGGUCACAAAUCAGAUAAAAAGCCUGUGAAGAGCUUGGACUGAAAGCCUUAGGAGUUCUGUGGUGUCC